CCCCGGGCUCAACCUGGGAACUGCAUUCGAAACUGGCAGGCUAGAGUCUUGUAGAGGGGGGUAGAAUUCCAGGUGUAGCGGUGAAAUGCGUAGAGAUCUGGAGGAAUACCGGUGGCGAAGGCGGCCCCCUGGACAAAGACUGACGCUCAGGUGCGAAAGCGUGGGGAGCAAACAGGAUUAGAUACCCUGGUAGUCCACGCCGUAAACGAUGUCGAUUUGGAGGUUGUGCCCUUGAGGCGUGGCUUCCGGAGCUAACGCGUUAAAUCGACCGCCUGGGGAGUACGGCCGCAAGGUUAAAACUCAAAUGAAUUGACGGGGGCCCGCACAAGCGGUGGAGCAUGUGGUUUAAUUCGAUGCAACGCGAAGAACCUUACCUGGUCUUGACAUCCACAGAACUUUCCAGAGAUGGAUUGGUGCCUUCGGGAACUGUGAGACAGGUGCUGCAUGGCUGUCGUCAGCUCGUGUUGUGAAAUGUUGGGUUAAGUCCCGCAACGAGCGCAACCCU
This 505-nucleotide ribosomal RNA is filed under the name Klebsiella pneumoniae. RNAcentral describes it as "bacterial SSU rRNA". It matches the Rfam family "Bacterial small subunit ribosomal RNA", at positions 601 to 1105 of the family's 1533-position model. The record is from RNAcentral. Lineage: Bacteria; Pseudomonadati; Pseudomonadota; Gammaproteobacteria; Enterobacterales; Enterobacteriaceae.